Molecule: ribosomal RNA, 1440 nt
Filed under: Klebsiella pneumoniae
Lineage: Bacteria; Pseudomonadati; Pseudomonadota; Gammaproteobacteria; Enterobacterales; Enterobacteriaceae
Description: bacterial SSU rRNA
Rfam family: Bacterial small subunit ribosomal RNA
Source: RNAcentral
CGUGGGGGCGGCCUACACAUGCAAGUCGAGCGGUAGCACAGAGAGCUUGCUCUCGGGUGACGAGCGGCGGACGGGUGAGUAAUGUCUGGGAAACUGCCUGAUGGAGGGGGAUAACUACUGGAAACGGUAGCUAAUACCGCAUAACGUCGCAAGACCAAAGUGGGGGACCUUCGGGCCUCAUGCCAUCAGAUGUGCCCAGAUGGGAUUAGCUGGUAGGUGGGGUAACGGCUCACCUAGGCGACGAUCCCUAGCUGGUCUGAGAGGAUGACCAGCCACACUGGAACUGAGACACGGUCCAGACUCCUACGGGAGGCAGCAGUGGGGAAUAUUGCACAAUGGGCGCAAGCCUGAUGCAGCCAUGCCGCGUGUGUGAAGAAGGCCUUCGGGUUGUAAAGCACUUUCAGCGGGGAGGAAGGCGGUGAGGUUAAUAACCUUGUCGAUUGACGUUACCCGCAGAAGAAGCACCGGCUAACUCCGUGCCAGCAGCCGCGGUAAUACGGAGGGUGCAAGCGUUAAUCGGAAUUACUGGGCGUAAAGCGCACGCAGGCGGUCUGUCAAGUCGGAUGUGAAAUCCCCGGGCUCAACCUGGGAACUGCAUUCGAAACUGGCAGGCUAGAGUCUUGUAGAGGGGGGUAGAAUUCCAGGUGUAGCGGUGAAAUGCGUAGAGAUCUGGAGGAAUACCGGUGGCGAAGGCGGCCCCCUGGACAAAGACUGACGCUCAGGUGCGAAAGCGUGGGGAGCAAACAGGAUUAGAUACCCUGGUAGUCCACGCUGUAAACGAUGUCGAUUUGGAGGUUGUGCCCUUGAGGCGUGGCUUCCGGAGCUAACGCGUUAAAUCGACCGCCUGGGGAGUACGGCCGCAAGGUUAAAACUCAAAUGAAUUGACGGGGGCCCGCACAAGCGGUGGAGCAUGUGGUUUAAUUCGAUGCAACGCGAAGAACCUUACCUGGUCUUGACAUCCACAGAACUUAGCAGAGAUGCUUUGGUGCCUUCGGGAACUGUGAGACAGGUGCUGCAUGGCUGUCGUCAGCUCGUGUUGUGAAAUGUUGGGUUAAGUCCCGCAACGAGCGCAACCCUUAUCCUUUGUUGCCAGCGGUUAGGCCGGGAACUCAAAGGAGACUGCCAGUGAUAAACUGGAGGAAGGUGGGGAUGACGUCAAGUCAUCAUGGCCCUUACGACCAGGGCUACACACGUGCUACAAUGGCAUAUACAAAGAGAAGCGACCUCGCGAGAGCAAGCGGACCUCAUAAAGUAUGUCGUAGUCCGGAUUGGAGUCUGCAACUCGACUCCAUGAAGUCGGAAUCGCUAGUAAUCGUAGAUCAGAAUGCUACGGUGAAUACGUUCCCGGGCCUUGUACACACCGCCCGUCACACCAUGGGAGUGGGUUGCAAAAGAAGUAGGUAGCUUAACCUUCGGGAGGGCGCUACCACUUUGAUUCAG